UACGUAGGGGGCAAGCGUUGUCCGGAAUUAUUGGGCGUAAAGCGCGCGCAGGCGGUCCUUUAAGUCUGAUGUGAAAGCCCACGGCUCAACCGUGGAAGGUCAUUGGAAACUGGAGGACUUGAGUACAGAAGGGGAAAGCGGAAUUCCACGUGUAGCGGUGAAAUGCGUAGAGAUGUGGAGGAACACCAGUGGCGAAGGCGGCUUUCUGGACAGUGACUGACGCUGAGACGCGAAAGCGUGGGGAGCAAACAGG
Molecule: ribosomal RNA, 253 nt
Filed under: uncultured bacterium
Lineage: Bacteria
Description: partial 16S ribosomal RNA
Rfam family: Bacterial small subunit ribosomal RNA
Source: RNAcentral